AACUGCGAAUGGCUCAUUAAAUCAGUUAUCGUUUAUUUGAUAGUACCUUACUACUUGGAUAACCGUGGUAAUUCUAGAGCUAAUACAUGCUGAAAACCCCGACUUCGGAAGGGGUGUAUUUAUUAGAUAAAAAACCAAUGCCCUUCGGGGCUCCUUGGUGAUUCAUAAUAACUUCUCAGAUCGCAUGGCCUUGCGCCGGCGACGGUUCAUUCAAAUUUCUGCCCUAUCAACUUUCGAUGGUAAGGUAUUGGCUUACCAUGGUUUCAACGGGUAACGGGGAAUUAGGGUUCGAUUCCGGAGAGGGAGCCUGAGAAACGGCUACCACAUCCAAGGAAGGCAGCAGGCGCGCAAAUUACCCAAUCCCGACACGGGGAGGUAGUGACAAUAAAUACUGAUACAGGGCUCUUUUGGGUCUUGUAAUUGGAAUGAGUACAAUUUAAACCUCUUAACGAGGAACAAUUGGAGGGCAAGUCUGGUGCCAGCAGCCGCGGUAAUUCCAGCUCCAAUAGCGUAUAUUAAAGUUGUUGCAGUUAAAAAGCUCGUAGUUGAACCUUUGGCCUGGCUGGCAGGUCCGCCUCACCGCGUGCACUUGUCCGGCCGGGCCUUCUCUUCUGGAGAACCGCAUGCCCUUCACUGGGUGUGUUGGGGACCAGGACUUUUACUUUGAAAAAAUUAGAGUGUUCAAAGCAGGCCUUUGCUCGAAUACGUUAGCAUGGAAUAAUAGAAUAGGACGUGCGGUCCUAUUUUGUUGGUUUCUAGGACCGCCGUAAUGAUUAAUAGGGACAGUCGGGGGCAUCAGUAUUCAAUUGUCAGAGGUGAAAUUCUUGGAUUUAUUGAAGACUAACUACUGCGAAAGCAUUUGCCAAGGAUGUUUUCAUUAAUCAGUGAACGAAAGUUAGGGGAUCGAAGACGAUCAGAUACCGUCGUAGUCUUAACCAUAAACUAUGCCGACUAGGGAUCGGGCGGUGUUAUUAUUUUGACUCGCUCGGCACCUUACGAGAAA
This 1003-nucleotide ribosomal RNA is filed under the name Lentithecium clioninum. Its description in RNAcentral is "SSU rRNA". It matches the Rfam family "Eukaryotic small subunit ribosomal RNA", at positions 85 to 1097 of the family's 1831-position model. Lineage: Eukaryota; Fungi; Ascomycota; Dothideomycetes; Pleosporales; Lentitheciaceae. The record is from RNAcentral.